AAGAUUCAUCGAGGGUGGGUGAAAUUCCCUGCCGGUGGUAAAGUCCACAACUCUCCAAGGUUAUCUUUGGGGACUGAUAUGGUGAAAUUCCAUAACCGACGGUCAAAGUCCGGAUGGAAGUUGGAUCAA
This 129-nucleotide non-coding RNA is filed under the name Porphyromonas macacae. RNAcentral's name for it is "FMN sequence". It matches the Rfam family "FMN riboswitch aptamer (RFN element)". Rfam says of the family: The RFN element is a highly conserved domain that is found frequently in the 5'-untranslated regions of prokaryotic mRNAs that encode for flavin mononucleotide (FMN) biosynthesis and transport proteins. This element is a metabolite-dependent riboswitch that directly binds FMN in the absence of proteins. In Bacillus subtilis, the riboswitch most likely controls gene expression by causing premature transcription termination within the 5' untranslated region of the ribDEAHT operon and precluding access to the ribosome-binding site of ypaA mRNA. The record is from Rfam by way of RNAcentral. Lineage: Bacteria; Pseudomonadati; Bacteroidota; Bacteroidia; Bacteroidales; Porphyromonadaceae.